GACAGAGGGGGCAAGCGUUGCUCGGAAUUACUGGGCGUAAAGGGCGCGUAGGCGGGAUGGCAAGUCGGUCGUGAAAUCCUUCGGCUCAACCGAAGAACGUCGAUCGAUACUGCUGUUCUUGAGGGUUGCAGAGGAGACUGGAAUUCCCGGUGUAGCGGUGAAAUGUGUAGAGAUCGGGAGGAGCACCGGUGGCGAAGGCGGGUCUCUGGGCAAUUCCUGACGCUGAGGCGCGAAAGCGUGGGGAGCAAACAGG
Molecule: ribosomal RNA, 253 nt
Filed under: uncultured bacterium
Lineage: Bacteria
Description: partial 16S ribosomal RNA
Rfam family: Bacterial small subunit ribosomal RNA
Source: RNAcentral